This is a non-coding RNA of Pelobates cultripes (western spadefoot toad), 419 nucleotides long. The record is from the annotation of a GenBank genome assembly. Lineage: Eukaryota; Metazoa; Chordata; Amphibia; Anura; Pelobatidae.
GGGGUAAAGUGGUGGGGGCAGGCAGUGAGCUGGGGGCUGGGCUCAGAGCUGGGGGAGAUUUGGGGGAUAAAGUGGGGGAUGAGGGGGAGGCCUGGGAGGGACACAGGUGUCAGCAGCAGCAGCCCCCCACCGCCUGCAUGCCGCCCACAGAGGGCCCCAGGCUCAGACUGCGCGGAAAUAAGUGAGAGAGUAAUUAUAUCAUCUCUCCCAGCACAGCAAACACUUCCUUUUGUUGCUAGGAAACAGGAAAUGUGCAUCUGAUAAUGUCUUCCCCCCUGACCCUCUCUGCCUGCGGACCAAUCUCCGCGGUCCCCUCCCAAUGACGUCCCUGCCAGAGCCCCCAAUGGCCGACUUCCCGGAGUAAAGAUGGCGUCGGGUUAGGAAGGCUGCGGCGGUUGUCCCACCAAGAUGGCGGCUUU